Molecule: unclassified non-coding RNA, 377 nt
Filed under: uncultured bacterium
Lineage: Bacteria
Description: contains 16S-23S intergenic spacer region
Source: RNAcentral
UCCGGCUUAUCACCGGCAGUCUGCUCAGGGUUCCAAACUAAAUGUUGGCAACUAAACACGAGGGUUGCGCUCGUUGCGGGACUUAACCCAACAUCUCACGACACGAGCUGACGACGGCCAUGCAGCACCUGUCACCUGGCUUCCGAAGACACCCCACUGUUUCCAGCGGGUUCCAGGGAUGUCAAGCCUCGGUAAGGUUCUACGCGUAGCGUCAUAUUAAACCACAUCCUCCUCUGCUUGUGCGGGUCCCCGUCAAUUCCUUUGAGUUUUAACCUUGCGGUCGUACUUCCCAGGCGGCAUACUUAUCGCGUUAGCUGCGACGCACAGGGGGUCGAUACCCCAUACGUCUAGUAUGCAUCGUUUACGGCGUGGACUAC